UACGUAGGGUGCGAGCGUUGUCCGGAAUUAUUGGGCGUAAAGGGCUCGUAGGCGGUCUGUUGCGUCGGGAGUGAAAACUCAGGGCUUAACCCUGAGCCUGCUUCCGAUACGGGCAGACUAGAGGUAUGCAGGGGAGAACGGAAUUCCUGGUGUAGCGGUGAAAUGCGCAGAUAUCAGGAGGAACACCGGUGGCGAAGGCGGUUCUCUGGGCAUUACCUGACGCUGAGGAGCGAAAGUGUGGGGAGCGAUCAGG
Molecule: ribosomal RNA, 253 nt
Filed under: uncultured bacterium
Lineage: Bacteria
Description: partial 16S ribosomal RNA
Rfam family: Bacterial small subunit ribosomal RNA
Source: RNAcentral